CAGUAGCCGCGGGAAUACGGAGGGGGCUAGCGUUGUUCGGAAUUACUGGGCGUAAAGCGCACGUAGGCUGCUUUGUAAGUCAGAGGUGAAAGCCCGGGGCUCAACCCCGGAUGUGCCUUUGAGACUGCAGGGCUAGAACGUCGGAGAGGUGAGUGGAAUUCCGAGUGUAGAGGUGAAAUUCGUAGAUAUUCGGAAGAACACCAGUGGCGAAGGCGGCUCACUGGCUCAUUCUAGACGCUGAGGUGCGAAAGCGUGGGGAGCAAACAGGAUUAGAUACCCGGGUAGUCCCUGUCUCUUAUAA
Molecule: ribosomal RNA, 301 nt
Filed under: uncultured bacterium
Lineage: Bacteria
Description: partial 16S ribosomal RNA
Rfam family: Bacterial small subunit ribosomal RNA
Source: RNAcentral